GACGAACGCUGGCGGCGUGCCUAACACAUGCAAGUCGAACGAGAUCCAUGGGAGCUUGCUCCCGGAAGAUCUAGUGGCGAACGGGUGAGUAACACGUGAGAAACCUGCCCUGGAGUGGGGAAUAACUCGGGGAAACUCGAGCUAAUACCGCGUACCCUCGGAUGGUCGCAUGGCCGACCGAGGAAAGAUUUAUCGCUCUAGGAGGGUCUCGCGGCCUAUCAGCUAGUUGGUGGGGUAACGGCCUACCAAGGCAACGACGGGUAGCUGGUUUGAGAGAACGAUCAGCCACACUGGGACUGAGACACGGCCCAGACUCCUACGGGAGGCAGCAGUGGGGAAUCUUGCGCAAUGGGCGAAAGCCUGACGCAGCAACGCCGCGUGCGGGAUGACGGCC
RNAcentral lists this ribosomal RNA (394 nucleotides) under uncultured bacterium. RNAcentral's name for it is "bacterial SSU rRNA". It matches the Rfam family "Bacterial small subunit ribosomal RNA", at positions 28 to 416 of the family's 1533-position model. The record is from RNAcentral.